RNAcentral lists this long non-coding RNA (635 nucleotides) under Lynx canadensis (Canada lynx). Its description in RNAcentral is "lncRNA (ENSLCNG00005019525.1)". The record is from RNAcentral. Lineage: Eukaryota; Metazoa; Chordata; Mammalia; Carnivora; Felidae.
GGGACAUCCUGGGCAGGAGCGCGCUGGGGCCAUGCCCGCUACCCCAGCAGCCGAUUGGUGACUGGCCUUUAGACGUUCCCACGACAACUGGAGAGUGUGAUGCUAAGUGAAAUAAGCCAUACAGAGAAAGACAGAUACCAUAUGUUUUCACUCUUAUGUGGAUCCUGAGAAACUUAACGGAAACCCGUGGGGGAGGGGAAGGAAAAGAAAAGAGGUUAGAGGGGGAGAGAGCCAAAGCAUAAGAGACUCUUAAAAACUGAGAACAAACUGAGUGUUGAUGGGAGAUGGGAGGGAGGGGAGGGUAGGUGAUGGGUAUCGAAGAGGGCAUCUUUUGGGAUGAGCACUGGGUGUUGUAUGGAAACCAAUUUGACAAUAAAUUUCAUAUAUUGAAAAAAAAGAAGAUCACUUGAAAUUGAAUAAAUAAAAAAAAUUAAAGAAAAAAUAAAAAUAGACGUUCCCACGACGUGUCCCCCCUCGCCUUUCUCCGAGUGCCCGCUCUGCAAACACCUCUCUAUCCGUGGGCCGGGCGAGAGCAGGCUCGCUCUGGCGGCUUUUGGGGAGAAGCCGGAACAAGGCAGAUAAAGCGAUCUCUGUGGACUACCCUGGAAACAGGAGUGGUGCUCCUUCGUGAAGCC